This is a small nuclear RNA of Mesocricetus auratus (golden hamster), 107 nucleotides long. Lineage: Eukaryota; Metazoa; Chordata; Mammalia; Rodentia; Cricetidae. The record is from Ensembl.
GUGCUCGCUUCGGCAGCACAUAUACGAAAAUUGGAAGGAUACAGAGAAGAUUAGCAUGGCCCCUGCACAAGGAUGACAUGCAAAUUUGUGAAGGGCUCCAUAUUUUU